GUCCCCAUCGUCUAGAGGCCUAGGACACGUCCCUUUCACGGACGCGACCGGGGUUCGAAUCCCCGUGGGGACGCCA
Molecule: transfer RNA, 76 nt
Filed under: Pseudomonadota bacterium
Lineage: Bacteria; Pseudomonadati; Pseudomonadota
Also listed under: 2 other names
Description: tRNA-Glu
Rfam family: tRNA
About the family: Transfer RNA (tRNA) molecules are approximately 80 nucleotides in length.
Source: RNAcentral